GACUAAGCCAUGCGAGUCUAUGGACUUCGGUCCAUGGCGGACGGCUCAGUAACACGUGGUUAACCUACCCUUAGGUGGGGGAUAACCUUGGGGAACUGAGGAUAAUACCCCAUAGGAAAAGAGGUUUGGAAUAAUCCUUUUCUGAAAGGACAUCCGCCUAAGGAUGGGACUGCGUCUGAUUAGGUAGUUGGUGGGGUAAUGGCCCACCAAGCCUACGAUCAGUACGGGCCUUGAGAGAGGGANCCCGGAGAUGGGGACUGAAACACGGCCCCAGGCCCUACGGGGCGCAGCAGGCGCGAAACCUCCACAAUGCACGAAAGUGCGAUGGGGGAAUCCCAAGUGCCUAUGUAAAACAUAGGCUUUUCCCAAGUUUAAACAACUUGGGGAAUAAGGGCUGGGCAAAUCCG
RNAcentral lists this ribosomal RNA (407 nucleotides) under uncultured prokaryote. RNAcentral describes it as "bacterial SSU rRNA". It matches the Rfam family "Archaeal small subunit ribosomal RNA", at positions 42 to 454 of the family's 1478-position model. The record is from RNAcentral.